GUUCGAUCAGCUCAUCGGGAGGUUGAGUUGCCUGGUACAGAUAAGACUAUGGAUCAACAACUGGUUUUCUUUGUCAAUGGGAACAAGGUCGUGGAGUCGAGCCCGGACCCAGAAACGACGCUUCUUCAGUACUUGAGGACCAAGUUACGUCUGACGGGCAGUAAGCUGGGAUGUGGCGAGGGCGGAUGCGGGGCGUGCACCGUCAUGGUGUCCCGAUACAACAGCCGCACGGACACCAUAUC
Long non-coding RNA from Haliotis rufescens (red abalone), 242 nucleotides. RefSeq lists it as uncharacterized. NCBI's taxonomy places the organism in Eukaryota, Metazoa, Mollusca, Gastropoda, Lepetellida, Haliotidae. The record is from RefSeq and is a predicted model, not a curated record. The transcript is spliced from 3 exons.